RNAcentral lists this transfer RNA (61 nucleotides) under Ovis ammon ammon. RNAcentral describes it as "partial tRNA-Phe". The record is from RNAcentral. Lineage: Eukaryota; Metazoa; Chordata; Mammalia; Artiodactyla; Bovidae.
GUUAAUGUAGCUUAAACUUAAAGCAAGGCACUGAAAAUGCCUAGAUGAUCUACGUAAUCGC